AUUGAACGCUGGCGGUAUGCUUAACACAUGCAAGUCGAACGGCAGCACAGUAUGUAGCAAUACAUAUGGGUGGCGAGUGGCGGACGGGUGAGUAACGCGUAGGAAUCUACCCUAAAGCGGGGGACAACCCGAGGAAACUCGGGCUAAUACCGCAUAAUCUCGAAAGAGUAAAGCUGGGCCAACCUGGCACUUUAGGAGGAGCCUGCGUCCGAUUAGCUAGUUGGUGAGGUAAAGGCUCACCAAGGCGAUGAUCGGUAGCUGGUCUGAGAGGAUGAUCAGUGACACCGGGUCUGGGACACGGCCCAGACUCCGAAGGGAGGCAGCAGUGGGGAAGAUUGGAGAAUGGGGGCAACCCUGAUCCAGCAAUACCGCGUGUGUGAAGAAGGCCUGAGGGUUGUAAAGCACUUUAGUUGGGGAAGAAGGAUAGUUGUUUAAGAGAUGAUUAUUUUGACGGUACCCAAAGAAUAAGCACCGGCUAACUCUGUGCCAGCCGCCGCCGUAA
Molecule: ribosomal RNA, 502 nt
Filed under: uncultured bacterium
Lineage: Bacteria
Description: partial 16S ribosomal RNA
Rfam family: Bacterial small subunit ribosomal RNA
Source: RNAcentral